GGGGGAGAAAGGGUUACAGGCUUUGUCUUUGAGGAGGAAUAUGUUGAAAUUCCUCCAAUUGCCAUUGACAAUGAUCAGGUUUCUAUCCCUGAUAUUGUUCAAGAAGCAACUCUGGAUCAAGACAAUGUCAUACCUCCCUCUCAAGAUCAACAAAUUGUUCCAGAAGAACAAACUCUACACCCUCAAGAACCAAUGCCAUUAAGAAGAUCCACUAGAGAGAGGAGAAGUGCGGUUUCGAAUGAUUACAUCGUAUUUCUUCAAGAACAUGAAGUUGACAUUGGAAUGGUGGAAGAUGAUCCGAUCAACUUCCGUCAAGCCAUGGAAAGUUCUAACUCUCAAAAGUGGCUCGAUGCUAUGAAUGAAGAGAUAAAGUCCAUGAAGGACAAUGACGUAUGGGACCUCGUUCCAUUGCCUGAAGGUGCGAAACCCAUUGGUUGCAAAUGGAUAUUUAAGACCAAGAGGGAUUCGAAAGGUGAUGUAGAGAGGUAUAAGGCUCGUCUUGUCGCAAAAGGCUUUACACAGAAAGAAGGCAUCGAUUAUAAAGAGACUUUCUCUCCGGUUUCUUCGAAAGACUCUUUCAGGACUAUAAUGGCAUUGGUAGCGCAUUUCGAUCU
Molecule: long non-coding RNA, 614 nt
Filed under: Olea europaea subsp. europaea
Lineage: Eukaryota; Viridiplantae; Streptophyta; Magnoliopsida; Lamiales; Oleaceae
Source: RNAcentral